Lycium ferocissimum is the source of this 555-nucleotide long non-coding RNA. RefSeq lists it as uncharacterized. The transcript is spliced from 2 exons. NCBI's taxonomy places the organism in Eukaryota, Viridiplantae, Streptophyta, Magnoliopsida, Solanales, Solanaceae. The record is from RefSeq and is a predicted model, not a curated record.
GUUACCGGUCACACCUUUUCCUUGUCUAUUUAAAGGGUUCAUUUGUUCCACAUAAUUUUCAUUCUCACUGUCCACCAAUGUUCUCUCUCUCAUCUUUUGUUCUGGGUCCAUUGAAGAUUCACAUAUAGGACUAUGGAGACCAUUUUGAGGAGCGAUGGCAAAAUGAUGGAUGACUUGGGAGACCGUUUUGAUGACCUGAAUGAAAAAGUGAACAUCACAGAUGCGCAGUGUAGAGAUAUCCUCGAGCAACAGCAACAGCUGAAGACCGCCUUGAGGAUGCGUCAAGGAGACUGGAGAGGAUGAUCCAUGGUGUCCUGGGUUCGUUUCGUACUGAUGCUGGUCAAUAUGUCACUCCUCCCCCUUCUCCACCACCACAGCUUUAGGAUGUUUCUAGUUGUUUUCUUUGUUGGUGCUUGUUUCAGUAUGAAGUUGUUGUUUGUGUUAGGUUGUUGUUUAAGGAUGGUAGAUGUGGUUGCUUUGUUGGUACUUUUGGAACACCCCCCCCCCCCCCUCUGUAUUUUGUAUGUAUAUUUAAUGUAAGGGUAAGUUAUGUUA